UCGCAAGGCUGAAACUCAAAGGAAUUGACGGGGGCUCACACAAGCGGUGGAGCAUGUGGCUCAAUUCGAGGCUACGCGAAGAACCUUAUCCUGGGCUUGACAUGUGCGAAAGCGCUGGGAAGUAGCGGGUGGAAACACUUUGCCAACGGUAUCCAGUCCGGAACCCAGUACAGGUGCUGCAUGGCUGUCGUCAGCUCGUGUCGUGAGAUGUCGGGUUAAGUCCCAUAACGAGCGAAACCCUUGCCUCCAGUUGCCAGCGGGUCAUGCCGGGGACUCUGGAGGGACUGCCGGCGUCAAGCCGGAGGAAGGUGGGGAUGACGUCAAGUCCUCAUGGCCUUUAUGCCCAGGGCUGCACACGUGCUACAAUGCCGUGAACAAAGGGAUGCAAACUCGCGAGAGGGAGCCAAUCCCAAAAAACACGGCCCAGUUCAGAUCGAAGGCUGCAACUCGCCUUCGUGAAGUUGGAAUCGCUAGUAAUCGCAGGUCAGCAACACUGCGGUGAAUGUGUUCCUGAGCCUUGUACUCACCGCCCGUC
RNAcentral lists this ribosomal RNA (535 nucleotides) under uncultured bacterium. RNAcentral's name for it is "bacterial SSU rRNA". It matches the Rfam family "Bacterial small subunit ribosomal RNA", at positions 886 to 1398 of the family's 1533-position model. The record is from RNAcentral.